GACGAACGCUGGCGGCGUGCUUAACACAUGCAAGUCGAACGGAAAGGCCUGCUUUCCCUUGUGGAUUGCGGGUACUCGCGUGGCGAACGGGUGAGUAACACGUGAGUGAUCUGCCCCCAACUUGGGUAUAAGCCUGGGAAACUGGGUCUAAUUCCCGAUAGGACUGCAGGGUGGUGCCUGUGGUGGAAAACGAUUUUCUAGUGGUUGGGGAUGAGCUCGCGGCCUAUCAGCUUGUUGGUGGGGUAAUGGCCUACCAAGGCGGCGACGGGUAGCCGGCCUGGGAUGGUGGACGGGCACAGUGGGACUGAGAUACGGCCCAGACUCCUACGGGAGGCAGCAGUGGGGAAUAAUGCACGAUGGGCGGAAGCCUGAUGCAGCGACGCCGCGUGGGGGAUGACGGCCUUCGGGUUGUAAACUCCUUUCGACCGCGAGGAAGCCACCUGGUUGGAAGGGUGGUGACGGUAGUGGUAGAAGAAGCACCGGCUAACUACGUG
RNAcentral lists this ribosomal RNA (494 nucleotides) under uncultured bacterium. RNAcentral describes it as "partial 16S ribosomal RNA". It matches the Rfam family "Bacterial small subunit ribosomal RNA", at positions 28 to 507 of the family's 1533-position model. The record is from RNAcentral.